This 200-nucleotide long non-coding RNA is filed under the name Carica papaya (papaya). RNAcentral's name for it is "long non-coding RNA (CPAP_LNC001569)". The record is from RNAcentral. Lineage: Eukaryota; Viridiplantae; Streptophyta; Magnoliopsida; Brassicales; Caricaceae.
AAUAAGUUAGUCCUCUUGAUUGAUGCAAGGAAGAAGUAUCAUGGAAGGUUGGUUACCUUCUCUAUGUAUUUGAUAUUGUUAUCAUUAUCGACUUAUGUUUUUAUAUUACACUAUACUUUGAGUAGGAUGUUUAAGGGUAUUUCAAAAUUUUUAUUAACAAUUAGAUCUUGUUUCUAAGUGUUAAUUACUAACAAAAUUUU